UACGUAGGGGGCAAGCGUUGUCCGGAAUCAUUGGGCGUAAAGAGCGUGUAGGCGGCUUGGUAAGUCCGGUGUGAAACCUUGGGGCUCAACCCCAAGCCUGCACUGGAUACUGCCUCGCUUGAGUCCGGGAGGGGAGAGCGGAAUUCCUAGUGUAGCGGUGAAAUGCGCAGAUAUUAGGAAGAACACCGGUGGCGAAGGCGGCUCUCUGGAACGGUACUGACGCUGAGACGCGAAAGCGUGGGGAGCGAACAGG
Molecule: ribosomal RNA, 253 nt
Filed under: uncultured bacterium
Lineage: Bacteria
Description: partial 16S ribosomal RNA
Rfam family: Bacterial small subunit ribosomal RNA
Source: RNAcentral